UCCAAACAUCCUGAAAACACUUAACAAAGUUAGAAAAUAAAAAUCUUCACACUCUCAAGUGUUUAGCUCUCGAUUUUUAAAUGGUCACUCAGAGUUCUUUCACUGGUUCAAAAGAUGAUAGGCAGUCAAGAUUCAGCAAUCAAAACCCAAAACAAACUUUGUGGGAAAAAAAAGAGAAAGAAAGAUGAAGAGAAUUUUGAUAUGGAUCCGCCUUAACUGUCCUAAGGCUGGAUUUCUCUUCAGCCAGCAGGGUUUCUCUUCCACCAUUCCCCCUGGAUUUCUCUUCAGAAGUGAUUCAAGCCAAAACUUUUACUCUCUUUCUUUUUUUUUUUUUAUCUUUUUUUUUUUUUUUUAAAUAACUGGCGAUCACAAGGGAGUAAAGGAACAGCCCGGAUCCAAAAAGAAAUAAGAAAAGAAAAAGAUGAAGAUAUGAGAAGAUGAUAAGAAGAAUGAAAACAAACCAGCCAAAGUGGCUCUGAUACCAACUGAAAAACCCUAGUGAAGGGAGGAUCACUUUAGCUGGGUGUUGGAUAUGAUCCGAGAAGGCAAACGGCACUUCUGGAACUGAGAUGGAUUGAAAGGAUCGUCAAGAGAUGCGGAAUGGCUCUUGAUAUACCCACGAUCUAAGGCUAACCACCUAAGAACGAAUGUAGUGUGUUGGCUAACCACCAAACGACACACAAAGAUGAUUGGCUGACCACCAAAUCAACAAGCCGGUUCAAACCGAUGAACUAGCUAAAGAACUCUCUCUCUCACUCAGAGAAGAAAAGAAAUAAACUCAAAAACAUAGACUGAUUUUAUUCAUAGAAGAGCUUACAUAUUUAUACUACUUGUGGUCAAAGAAAGAUUAAGAGUUUUUGUGGAAAACUAGAAACUUAGAAAACAUAAACAAAGACUAAGACUUUUGAC
RNAcentral lists this long non-coding RNA (909 nucleotides) under Brassica rapa (field mustard). RNAcentral describes it as "long non-coding RNA (BRAP_LNC008976)". Lineage: Eukaryota; Viridiplantae; Streptophyta; Magnoliopsida; Brassicales; Brassicaceae. The record is from RNAcentral.